GGGGGUAUAGCUGAGUGGUAGAGCAUUUGACUGCAGAUCAAGAGGUCCCCGGUUCAAAUCAAAGCUGAGUUG
Molecule: transfer RNA, 72 nt
Filed under: Dallia pectoralis (Alaska blackfish)
Lineage: Eukaryota; Metazoa; Chordata; Actinopteri; Esociformes; Umbridae
Description: tRNA-OTHER
Source: RNAcentral